UCGGGUGUGGUGUACGGAACACCGCGGGCCUUCUUUUACGGUCGUAGCAAAUUGGCAGCCCGUAGACCGGGGUUCGACUCCCCGCGCCCGAA
Molecule: non-coding RNA, 92 nt
Organism: Mycena rosella
Lineage: Eukaryota; Fungi; Basidiomycota; Agaricomycetes; Agaricales; Mycenaceae
Source: the annotation of a GenBank genome assembly